Molecule: ribosomal RNA, 251 nt
Filed under: uncultured bacterium
Lineage: Bacteria
Description: partial 16S ribosomal RNA
Rfam family: Bacterial small subunit ribosomal RNA
Source: RNAcentral
ACGUAUGUUCCAAGCGUUAUCCGGAUUUAUUGGGCGUAAAGCGAGCGCAGACGGUUAUUUAAGUCUGAAGUGAAAGCCCUCGGCUCAACCGAGGAAUUGCUUUGGAAACUGGAUAACUUGAGUGCAGUAGAGGAAAGUGGAACUCCAUGUGUAGCGGUGAAAUGCGUAGAUAUAUGGAAGAACACCAGUGGCGAAGGCGGCUUUCUGGACUGUAACUGACGUUGAGGCUCGAAAGUGUGGGUAGCAAACAG